This is a long non-coding RNA of Xenopus tropicalis (tropical clawed frog), 2137 nucleotides long. RefSeq lists it as uncharacterized. The transcript is spliced from 2 exons. Lineage: Eukaryota; Metazoa; Chordata; Amphibia; Anura; Pipidae. The record is from RefSeq and is a predicted model, not a curated record.
GGGUCUGUGAGGAACAGUUUGGAGUGCUUCUAGUUUUUCUCCCCAAUAAAAAGGACUCUCUGAAGGCCUGGGUAAUGGCCCACUUCUGUGCUUACCUUCCACUGCCAAUCGAUGGGAAAGCAAUGGAUUUGAUCUUCUUCUCAUCCGCCAAAGCCAAGCAGUUCUUUACUGUCUUCUCCAGCAGCUCUUCACACUUGUCUGAACCCCAGCUGGGACUAUUGCAGUGGAUAACAAACUUGGCAGGCAAGCCAUGGCCUGAGCUUACUGCAGCUAUAUACAGAGAGAUAUAUCAAAGUCAGUAGCACAAUAUUUAACUUCACAUCAAUAAGGGUUGGUUUAACUGAACAAUAUAUUAGCAACCAUGGCUGACUAAGAAGAUGAAGUUCAAGUAACACUGUGAUGUCAGAAGACAAAUUUUAAAUGGGGGUCCUCAACUUUUUUUUUUAUACCAGUGAGCCACAUUCAAAUGUAAAAAGUCUUAGGGAGCAACACAAGCAUGAAAAAAGCUUAUAGGGAGUGCCAAAUAUGGGCCGUGAUUGGCUAUUUGGUAGCAUCAUGUGGACUGGAAGCCUACAGGAUGUUCUCUUUUUGAGUACACCUUGUCUUUAUGUAUCAAAAACUUGCCUCCAAGCCAGAAAUUCGGUGAGCAACAUGGUGCUUAUGAGCCAGUGGUUGGGAUCACUGUUUUAAAGGAACACCGCGGAGGUAACCUGCAGUGGUAGGCUUAUAACACAUAAACUUCCUUUCAUUGCUGUAUCCUCAUAGAUAUACAGGACUCCCUAUGCCACUGUACACUGCAUUUCAUGCUAUGGAAAGGCCAAUUUUUUCCUGCCUUAUUAUUUUGAGCUAAAUUAUGAGACACAUAGCACUUUUAAAUCUUACGUGAAAUAUGUUUCUUUACAAAUACGAAGAACUUGAUUUCUGUGUAUUAACACAGCAGUCUCUGCAAGUUCCUGGGUUGGUGUUAUCCAAUAUCUUUGUAAACGUGACUAUGUUUCACUUUAAUUUGCUCUGAAUGCUCUUCUUUCCUCGGAGUUAUUACUUUUUUCGGUGUUACAGAGACAUUAAAGGGCUAUCAUGAAGGGACCAAAUUAAAGUGACUGCAGAAAAAACCAGGGGUCACCUAUAAAUUUUAAAAAGUAUACAAUGAGCGGCCGUGCAGUUUGGUGAUCCUUCCAAACAUACUGAAGAACUUGAGCACUAGACAUUUCCAAUUUGUUCUAAUUUAUGUCCAACAGUUUCAUUUGGCAUAUGGAGAAGGUGUCAUAAAUUUAAGAGAAAUCUAAUAAAACAAACUGACAUGCAUGUAAUGGGAUGGGGGGAUAGUAUGCAAAAUGUGGCCAAUGUGGUGAUUUAAGUGUUUCACAUUAACACUGCAGUGGUAUAAUGUAACUAUAGUGCAUGAUGGUGAACCUGUGCUGUCCCUUGAAAUAGGAGUGGAUCUGUGCUGAACUCUGCAAGUUGAGCUGAAAGUUAUAUCAUUUACAAUGAAACAGCUAUGAAGUUUGUAAAGGUGUGAGUUUUUGAAAGCUCAAAGGCAUGUACAUUUACAAUAAAAUCACAAAAUACCUACAGUAUAAAUGAGAUGAAAGGGGUAAUUAGCACCAUUCAACACAACAUAUUUUCUUAUAGCAUAUUGGUACAUGUGACUUAUUUGUAUAUUGUCAUCUUAUUUACCUGUAUUGUGUAACAUUUUCAAACAAUUAUAAUGGUGACAGGAAGGGGGGAAAGGAGGUGGAGAGCCAUGGGUAAAUGUCAGAAACUUUUUUAAAAUUAGGUAGGUUACAGUACGUGGGUGGGGGGAAUGCAGGAAAAGAUAACAGCCUGAAUAAGGGCCAACCUGUGUGAUCAGUUACAGAAGGAAGCCAUUAGCGGGUUUGGAAAACACUCAUCAGGUCCGGAUUGGCAAUUUGUGGGUUCCAGAGGGGCUGCUGUAAGAUGACAUAGACAGUGACUAUUUAUUGGGCUGUUGGGGGGCUGUUUGGGCAUCUGUAUACUUUUAAAGUGCCAUGAACUAUUUUUAAUCCCAGUCCAUGGCUGGUACUCAUAACAGGUCAGAUAGGCAACUGACUUAUCUGCAGUAUAUGGAGCUUUACUUACAGACAUGGCAAGAUACAAAUUGGUACUCACCUUCAAA